This 440-nucleotide ribosomal RNA is filed under the name Lactiplantibacillus plantarum. RNAcentral describes it as "bacterial SSU rRNA". It matches the Rfam family "Bacterial small subunit ribosomal RNA", at positions 369 to 800 of the family's 1533-position model. The record is from RNAcentral. Lineage: Bacteria; Bacillati; Bacillota; Bacilli; Lactobacillales; Lactobacillaceae.
UAGGGGACGGAAAAUCUGAUGGAGCAACGCCGCGUGAGUGAAGAAGGGUUUCGGCUCGUAAAACUCUGUUGUUAAAGAAGAACAUAUCUGAGAGUAACUGUUCAGGUAUUGACGGUAUUUAACCAGAAAGCCACGGCUAACUACGUGCCAGCAGCCGCGGUAAUACGUAGGUGGCAAGCGUUGUCCGGAUUUAUUGGGCGUAAAGCGAGCGCAGGCGGUUUUUUAAGUCUGAUGUGAAAGCCUUCGGCUCAACCGAAGAAGUGCAUCGGAAACUGGGAAACUUGAGUGCAGAAGAGGACAGUGGAACUCCAUGUGUAGCGGUGAAAUGCGUAGAUAUAUGGAAGAACACCAGUGGCGAAGGCGGCUGUCUGGUCUGUAACUGACGCUGAGGCUCGAAAGUAUGGGUAGCAAACAGGAUUAGAUACCCCCGUAGUCCUUUU